Molecule: ribosomal RNA, 460 nt
Filed under: uncultured bacterium
Lineage: Bacteria
Description: partial 16S ribosomal RNA
Rfam family: Bacterial small subunit ribosomal RNA
Source: RNAcentral
CCUACGGGAGGCUGCAGUGAGGAAUAUUGGUCAAUGGACGAGAGUCUGAACCAGCCAAGUAGCGUGAAGGAUGACUGCCCUAUGGGUUGUAAACUUCUUUUAUAUAGGAAUAAAAUGUUCCACGUGUGGGAUUUUGUAUGUACCAUAUGAAUAAGGAUCGGCUAACUCCGUGCCAGCAGCCGCGGUAAUACGGAGGAUCCGAGCGUUAUCCGGAUUUAUUGGGUUUAAAGGGAGCGUAGGUGGAUUGUUAAGUCAGUUGUGAAAGUUUGCGGCUCAACCGUAAAAUUGCAGUUGAAACUGGCAGUCUUGAGUACAGUAGAGGUGGGCGGAAUUUGUGGUGUAGCGGUGAAAUGCUUAGAUAUCACGAAGAACUCCGAUUGCGAAGGCAGUUCACUGGACUGCAACUGACACUGAGGCUCGAAAGUGUGGGUAUCAAACAGGAUUAGAUACCCGAGUAGUC